CUUAAACGGUAUCUAGCAGGUGAAGACAUGCAAGUCUCUUCUUGAGGCGUAGAGGUGAGGAUUGCUAAGUAGAUACAGUCCAUUUUCAUGGGACAUGAAAACGACUUUUCGCUUAGUUCCCAAUAGGUAGUAGGAGAGGUUAAAGCUCAACUAGCCGAAGAUGGGUAGAAUAGAAUGACAGUUUUUAUUCCACAACGGGUGUGAGAUUAACCCGAGGCAUCAUUAGAUGUACAGCAGUCACAAAUCAUUGUCAAUAUUCCAAUCUGAAGGAAUGAACAUGCUAGCUAGAAUCUAUAAUUUAUCUUAAGUUAUAGACGCUUUUCUCAUCAAUGAUUAUGACUAAGGAAAAGUGAAGUCCAUCCAAAACAUCGUGCCAGCCGCCGCCGUAACAC
RNAcentral lists this ribosomal RNA (392 nucleotides) under uncultured bacterium. Its description in RNAcentral is "partial 16S ribosomal RNA". It matches the Rfam family "Bacterial small subunit ribosomal RNA", at positions 30 to 526 of the family's 1533-position model. The record is from RNAcentral.